ACACAGUUCUACUUUUAGAGAAUGUUUGCAAUCGCGCGCAAUGCGAUUAAUAAAGACAGUGUUUAUUUUGGAAUUGUAAUUUCAAUAUUUUUUAGAAUAUAAUAGCUCUUAUUAAUAUUAAUUAUAAUAAUUAAACGCGAAAUUAGGAUCAGUGGUUGUUUGUCGGUUUAUUUAAACGGACAGGUUACUAGUCUUUUAUUUUUCUUUCUUUUUAAAUAUAUAUAUGUAUUUUUUAAAUAUUCGUUUGCGAUAUUAAAGUCAGUGCUCAAGAGGACACAGCCUCUCCUGGAGCUCAAGAAUGUUCCUACAAUUUCUACUUCUUCCUGUUCUGUGAAGACCAUCUUAUAGUGCUUCAAAAGCCAAAAAU
Molecule: unclassified non-coding RNA, 367 nt
Filed under: Bombus terrestris (buff-tailed bumblebee)
Lineage: Eukaryota; Metazoa; Arthropoda; Insecta; Hymenoptera; Apidae
Description: misc RNA ENSBTSG00005032078.1
Source: RNAcentral